GCCUGAAAACUACAAGCGUAAGCUUAAAACUCAAAGGGUCUGGCGGCACUUUAAACUAUCUAGAGGAGCCUGUCCUAUAAUCGAUAAUCCCCGUUAAACCUCACCUUCCUUAGCUAUCAGCCUGUAUACCGCCGUCGUCAGCUUACCCCCUAAAGGUCACACAAGUAAGCAAAAUUGGUUUUACCCUAAACGUCAGGUCGAGGUGCAGCUUACAAGAAGGGAAGAGAUGGGCUACAUUUCCUAGGAAAUACGAAUAGUACACUGAAACAUGUACCUUGAAGGAGGAUUUAGUAGUAAGUAAAAAAUAGAGAGUUUUACUGAAAAAGGUCUUAAAGUGCGUAC
The sequence is a ribosomal RNA, 342 nucleotides long. It matches the Rfam family "Bacterial small subunit ribosomal RNA", at positions 871 to 1386 of the family's 1533-position model.